GUACACAAAAAUGCACAUAUUGUGAGCUCGAUGAGUAGGGCGGGACACGUGGUAUCCUGUCUGAAUAUGGGGGGACCAUCCUCCAAGGCUAAAUACUCCUGACUGACCGAUAGUGAACCAGUACCGUGAGGGAAAGGCGAAAAGAACCCCGGCGAGGGGAGUGAAAAAGAACCUGAAACCGUGUACGUACAAGCAGUGGGAGCCUCUUAAUGGGGUGACUGCGUACCUUUUGUAUAAUGGGUCAGCGACUUAUAUUCUGUAGCAAGGUUAACCGAAUAGGGGAGCCGAAGGGAAACCGAGUCUUAACUGGGCGUUAAGUUGCAGGGUAUAGACCCGAAACCCGGUGAUCUAGCCAUGGGCAGGUUGAAGGUUGGGUAACACUAACUGGAGGACCGAACCGACUAAUGUUGAAAAAUUAGCGGAUGACUUGUGGCUGGGGGUGAAAGGCCAAUCAAACCGGGAGAUAGCUGGUUCUCCCCGAAAGCUAUUUAGGUAGCGCCUCGUGAAUUCAUCUCCGGGGGUAGAGCACUGUUUCGGCAAGGGGGUCAUCCCGACUUACCAACCCGAUGCAAACUGCGAAUACCGGAGAAUGUUAUCACGGGAGACACACGGCGGGUGCUAACGUCCGUCGUGAAGAGGGAAACAACCCAGACCGCCAGCUAAGGUCCCAAAGUCAUGGUUAAGUGGGAAACGAUGUGGGAAGGCCCAGACAGCCAGGAUGUUGGCUUAGAAGCAGCCAUCAUUUAAAGAAAGCGUAAUAGCUCACUGGUCGAGUCGGCCUGCGCGGAAGAUGUAACGGGGCUAAACCAUGCACCGAAGCUGCGGCAGCGACACUAUGUGUUGUUGGGUAGGGGAGCGUUCUGUAAGCCUGUGAAGGUGGCCUGUGAGGGUUGCUGGAGGUAUCAGAAGUGCGAAUGCUGACAUAAGUAACGAUAAAGCGGGUGAAAAGCCCGCUCGCCGGAAGACCAAGGGUUCCUGUCCAACGUUAAUCGGGGCAGGGUGAGUCGACCCCUAAGGCGAGGCCGAAAGGCGUAGUCGAUGGGAAACAGGUUAAUAUUCCUGUACUUGGUGUUACUGCGAAGGGGGGACGGAGAAGGCUAUGUUGGCCGGGCGACGGUUGUCCCGGUUUAAGCGUGUAGGCUGGUUUUCCAGGCAAAUCCGGAAAACCAAGGCUGAGGCGUGAUGACGAGGCACUACGGUGCUGAAGCGACAAAUGCCCUGCUUCCAGGAAAAGCCUCUAAGCAUCAGGUAACAUCAAAUCGUACCCCAAACCGACACAGGUGGUCAGGUAGAGAAUACCAAGGCGCUUGAGAGAACUCGGGUGAAGGAACUAGGCAAAAUGGUGCCGUAACUUCGGGAGAAGGCACGCUGAUAUGUAGGUGAAGCGACUUGCUCGUGGAGCUGAAAUCAGUCGAAGAUACCAGCUGGCUGCAACUGUUUAUUAAAAACACAGCACUGUGCAAACACGAAAGUGGACGUAUACGGUGUGACGCCUGCCCGGUGCCGGAAGGUUAAUUGAUGGGGUUAGCGGUAACGCGAAGCUCUUGAUCGAAGCCCCGGUAAACGGCGGCCGUAACUAUAACGGUCCUAAGGUAGCGAAAUUCCUUGUCGGGUAAGUUCCGACCUGCACGAAUGGCGUAAUGAUGGCCAGGCUGUCUCCACCCGAGACUCAGUGAAAUUGAACUCGCUGUGAAGAUGCAGUGUACCCGCGGCAAGACGGAAAGACCCCGUGAACCUUUACUAUAGCUUGACACUGAACAUUGAGCCUUGAUGUGUAGGAUAGGUGGGAGGCUUUGAAGUGUGGACGCCAGUCUGCAUGGAGCCGACCUUGAAAUACCACCCUUUAAUGUUUGAUGUUCUAACGUUGGCCCGUAAUCCGGGUUGCGGACAGUGUCUGGUGGGUAGUUUGACUGGGGCGGUCUCCUCCUAAAGAGUAACGGAGGAGCACGAAGGUUGGCUAAUCCUGGUCGGACAUCAGGAGGUUAGUGCAAUGGCAUAAGCCAGCUUGACUGCGAGCGUGACGGCGCGAGCAGGUGCGAAAGCAGGUCAUAGUGAUCCGGUGGUUCUGAAUGGAAGGGCCAUCGCUCAACGGAUAAAAGGUACUCCGGGGAUAACAGGCUGAUACCGCCCAAGAGUUCAUAUCGACGGCGGUGUUUGGCACCUCGAUGUCGGCUCAUCACAUCCUGGGGCUGAAGUAGGUCCCAAGGGUAUGGCUGUUCGCCAUUUAAAGUGGUACGCGAGCUGGGUUUAGAACGUCGUGAGACAGUUCGGUCCCUAUCUGCCGUGGGCGCUGGAGAACUGAGGGGGGCUGCUCCUAGUACGAGAGGACCGGAGUGGACGCAUCACUGGUGUUCGGGUUGUCAUGCCAAUGGCACUGCCCGGUAGCUAAAUGCGGAAGAGAUAAGUGCUGAAAGCAUCUAAGCACGAAACUUGCCCCGAGAUGAGUUCUCCCUGACUCCUUGAGAGUCCUGAAGGAACGUUGAAGACGACGACGUUGAUAGGCCGGGUGUGUAAGCGCAGCGAUGCGUUGAGCUAACCGGUACUAAUGAACCGUGAGGCUUAACCUUACAACGCCGAAG
This 2579-nucleotide ribosomal RNA is filed under the name Escherichia coli. RNAcentral describes it as "partial 23S ribosomal RNA". It matches the Rfam family "Bacterial large subunit ribosomal RNA", at positions 375 to 2925 of the family's 2925-position model. Lineage: Bacteria; Pseudomonadati; Pseudomonadota; Gammaproteobacteria; Enterobacterales; Enterobacteriaceae. The record is from RNAcentral.